RNAcentral lists this long non-coding RNA (180 nucleotides) under Mustela putorius furo (domestic ferret). RNAcentral's name for it is "lncRNA (ENSMPUG00000026734.1)". Lineage: Eukaryota; Metazoa; Chordata; Mammalia; Carnivora; Mustelidae. The record is from RNAcentral.
AUUUCAAGCAGUCUGAAAACACAAAAUUUGCCUUCAGUGAAUAUGCUCAGAAGUCACUAGAAAAUUCAGAUUUUCAUGAAAAGAGAAAGAGAAGAGAAAAGAGAAGAAAAAGCAUGCUCAUCAUUAGGAUCCAGGAAAGAAAAUUAAACUAUUCUGCAUUUGAGGAUUUGUGCUUCUGGC